GUGGUAAUGCCGGAUGUUCCAGUUGAUCGCAUGGUCUUCUGGGAAAGCUUUCGCGGUAUGGGAUGGGGUCGCGUCCUAUCAGCUUGACGGCGGGGUAACGGCCCACCGUGGCUUCGACGGGUAGCCGGCCUGAGAGGGCGACCGGCCACAUUGGGACUGAGAUACGGCCCAGACUCCUACGGGAGGCAGCAGUGGGGAAUAUUGCACAAUGGGCGCAAGCCUGAUGCAGCGACGCCGCGUGAGGGAUGGAGGCCUUCGGGUUGUAAACCUCUUUUAUCGGGGAGCAAGCGUGAGUGAGUUUACCCGUUGAAUAAGCACCGGCUAACUACGUGCCAGCAGCCGCGGUAAUACGUAGGGUGCAAGCGUUAUCCGGAAUUAUUGGGCGUAAAGGGCUCGUAGGCGGUUCGUCGCGUCCGGUGUGAAAGUCCAUCGCUUAACGGUGGAUCCGCGCCGGGUACGGGCGGGCUUGAGUGCGGUAGGGGAGACUGGAAUUCCCGGUGUAACGGUGGAAUGUG
This 515-nucleotide ribosomal RNA is filed under the name Bifidobacterium longum subsp. suillum. RNAcentral's name for it is "bacterial SSU rRNA". It matches the Rfam family "Bacterial small subunit ribosomal RNA", at positions 160 to 690 of the family's 1533-position model. Lineage: Bacteria; Bacillati; Actinomycetota; Actinomycetes; Bifidobacteriales; Bifidobacteriaceae. The record is from RNAcentral.